GAGAGUCAUAGUUACUCCCGCCGUUUACCCGCGCUUGGUUGAAUUUCUUCACUUUGACAUUCAGAGCACUGGGCAGAAAUCACAAUGCGUCAACACCGUUUCCGGCCAUCGCAAUGCUUUGUUUUAAUUAAACAGUCGGAUUCCCCUUGUCCGUACCAGUUCUAAGUUGAUUGUUAAUUGCCUGCCGAACUGCUCUUGUGAGCAUAGCUGGGCCAAUCCACGACCAGUCCCUUCCCAGUCCAAGUCCAUCCCCGAGAGGACGAAAUAGUCCGGGUCGGAUCCACUCGCUUCAAGUCUCAGCCCGACAGACCCAAUCCUUUUCCCGAAGUUACGGAUCUAUGUUGCCGACUUCCCUUACCUACAUUGUUCUAUCGACCAGAGGCUGUUCACCUUGGAGACUUGCUGCGGUUAUGAGUACGAACAGACGCGAAAAUCAAUCUUUCCCUCGGAUUUUCAAGGGCCUUCAGAAGCGCACCGGACACCACAAGAAGUGUGGUGCUUUACCGGCUGUUGAACCAUAUCUCCUGGCAAUCAGAUUCCAUGGUGUCAAGCCGUUAACAAGAAAAGAGAACUCUUCCCAGGGCUCCUGCCGACGUCUCCGAGUUCAGUUGCGUUACCGCACGUCCCCCCCCCCCCCCGAAGGAAUGGAAUAUCCACGUCCUGGUUCGGGAAUAUUAACCCGAUUCCCUUUCGAUAAACGGUCCGAGAUCGGACACUUUGAAACGGAGUUUCCCUAUCUCUUAGGAUCGACUAACCCAUGUCCAACUGCUGUUCACAUGGAACCUUUCUCCACUUCGGUCUUCAAAGUUCUCAUUUGAAUAUUUGCUACUACCACCAAGAUCUUCACUAGAGGCCGUUUCACCCAGGCUCACGCCAAAGGCUGCGUCACGACCCCCACGCCCUCCUACUCGUCAAAGCUUAGCUACUUACUUUGACGGCUAAUAUAGGCACGACGCUUAAGCGCCAUCCAUUUUCAGGGCUAGUUGAUUCGGCAGGUGUGUUGUUACACACUCCUUAGCGGAUUCCGACUUCCAUGGCCACCGUCCUGCUGUCUAGAUCAACCAACACCUUUUGUGGGGUCUGAUGAGCGUCGAUUUAGGCGCCUUAACUCAGCGUUCGGUUCAUCCCGCAUCGCCAGUUCUGCUUACCAAAAAUGGCCCACUAAGAACUCUCAUUCUGUGCCCUACUUCAAUUAAGCAAGUCGGGCUUCUUACCAAUUUAAAGUUUGAGAAUAGGUUAAGGUUGUUUCAACCCUAAGACCUCUAAUCAUUCGCUUUACCUGAUAAAACUGUUCCGAGUUCCAGCUAUCCUAAGGGAAACUUCGGAGGGAACCAGCUACUAGAUGGUUCGAUUAGUCUUUCGCCCCUAUACUCAAGUUUGACGAUCGAUUUGCACGUCAAAAUCGCUACGAGCCUCCACCAGAGUUUCCUCUGGCUUCGCCCUACUCAAGCAUAGUUCACCAUCUUUCGGGUCCCAACAGAUGUGCUCUUACUCAAACCUUUCUAGGAGUAGAAUAGGUCGGUCAAUGAUGCGCUCCUCGCCGAAACGAAGAGAUCUCACCUCAGCUGCAAGCAGCCUUUACUUUCAUUGUGCCCGCGGGUUUCAAUCACCCAAAGACUCGCACACAUGUUAGACUCCUUGGUCCGUGUUUCAAGACGGGUCGCAUGAAACCAUAUGACCGCCAACAACCUUAGCACAAUGUGUGCAUUCAUCCCCCCGACAGCCGGCCACAGUUCAAACGCACUGCACGCAGUCCGCUAUGGUUGACAACCGACUGGGAAGAGAGAAGCCAGCCCAAAAGAGCAUGUGCCGCGACGCCUCUGUCGGACCCGAGCUCGCACACCACAAGCUAUAAUACUGACCGAAGCCAGCUACCUUCUUGCGGGGCUCUUCGCUCGGUUCCAACAGCUGUUGACGCACGCUGCCGGGAAAUGCGACAAACAACUGCUAGUGACGAACACCAACGGUCCAUUCGGAUCCGUAAAACGCCCGUACCUGCUGCCGAUCAUCUGAAUCUCGACAGCGCAUUGCUAAUUCCAUGCGCUUCCCUCCUAACGGUUUCACGUACUAUUAACUUUCUUUUCAAAGUGCUUUUCAUCUUUCCCUCACGGUACUUGUUCCCUAUCGGUCUCGUGCCAAUAUUUAGCUUUAGAAGGAGUUUACCUCCCAUUUUGGGCUGCAUUCCCAAGCAACCCGACUCAUAGAAAGCGCAUCGUGAACAGUACACAGUGCCACGCACGGGAUUGUCACCCUCUACGAUGUGCCGUUCCAAGCAACUUGAGCACUGUGUAUCCGCCUUGAAAACGCUUCUGGAGACUACAAUUCGCCGUCAA
Hydractinia symbiolongicarpus is the source of this 2333-nucleotide long non-coding RNA. RefSeq lists it as uncharacterized. NCBI's taxonomy places the organism in Eukaryota, Metazoa, Cnidaria, Hydrozoa, Anthoathecata, Hydractiniidae. The record is from RefSeq and is a predicted model, not a curated record. The transcript has 2 exons.